RNAcentral lists this ribosomal RNA (723 nucleotides) under Lactarius aquizonatus. RNAcentral's name for it is "eukaryotic LSU rRNA". The stretch from base 281 to 434 matches the Rfam family "5.8S ribosomal RNA". Lineage: Eukaryota; Fungi; Basidiomycota; Agaricomycetes; Russulales; Russulaceae. The record is from RNAcentral.
AGUAAAAGUCGUAACAAGGUUUCCGUAGGUGAACCUGCGGAAGGAUCAUUAUCGUACAAAAUGUGAGAGGCACGCAAGGGUUGUCGCUGACUUUUAACACAAAAGUCGUGCACGCCGGAGUGUGUCCUCUCGCAUAAAAUCCAUCUCACCCUUUUGUGCACCACCGCGUGGGCACCCUUCAGGAUCGAGCCGAUCCGGGAGGGGGCUUGCGUUUUCACACAAACCCCCCCUUUUAAAAGUGUAGAAUGACCCCAUUUUUGCGAUAACACGCAAUCAAUACAACUUUCAACAACGGAUCUCUUGGCUCUCGCAUCGAUGAAGAACGCAGCGAAAUGCGAUACGUAAUGUGAAUUGCAGAAUUCAGUGAAUCAUCGAAUCUUUGAACGCACCUUGCGCCCCUUGGUAUUCCGAGGGGCACACCCGUUUGAGUGUCGUGAAUAUCUCAACCUUCUCGGUUUCUUCUGGACACCGAAGGAGGCUUGGACUUUGGAGGCCUUUGCUGGCGUCUCUCUCUUCUGAAACCCAGCUCCUCUUAAAUGAAUUAGCGGGGUCCUCUUUGCUGAUCCUCGACGUGUGAUAAGAUGUUUCCAUGUCUUGGUUUCUGGCUCUGUUGCUCCUGGGACCCGCUUCUAACCGUCUCAACCUUGCAUCGAGACAAUGUUUGAGCGCGUCUCCCUUCUCGGGAAAUGCUCUCAACCCCACGAACCCUUGACCUCAAAUCGG